AAACACUUUGCUCAAUUACGAUUUGAGAUGGAGCAAAAUGGAGAAGAAACUGAUAAGAUGAAUGUGUGGAAAAAAGCACGAGACCAGUCAAAACCAGAAGUAGUUGAAGUCAUUGAAGAAUAUGAAAAACGACUUUUAUUAGAACCUGAGGACCAAAGGAACCUUUAGGUUGUCAAAGACCGUAUAUUUCAUGAAUUGAUUGGAGAGGAUGGCCAUGGAUAUUGUCGCACCUAUGGAUCUGCCGUGCCUAGAAGAUUUGUCUACCCACAUGCACCAAAUUCCUCUGAAACCACUGAUGAUAUAAUACAGAAAGUAACUGAAUCUGUGGCAAAAAAGUUUCAGGAUCAGCUUAAUAUGCUACAAGCUCGAAUUGAUUUUUUGGAGAACAAAGAGAAGAGAGGCAUAGAUCAA
This is a long non-coding RNA of Rosa chinensis, 411 nucleotides long. RefSeq lists it as uncharacterized. The transcript has 3 exons. Lineage: Eukaryota; Viridiplantae; Streptophyta; Magnoliopsida; Rosales; Rosaceae. The record is from RefSeq and is a predicted model, not a curated record.